GAGUUUGGUUCUUUGAGUAAGAAUACCUAGCUGAUAAUUAGGUUGUAGAGGGUUAGAUUCCCUCCAAGCUUU
Molecule: transfer RNA, 72 nt
Filed under: Styracaster yapensis
Lineage: Eukaryota; Metazoa; Echinodermata; Asteroidea; Paxillosida; Porcellanasteridae
Description: tRNA-Ile
Rfam family: tRNA
About the family: Transfer RNA (tRNA) molecules are approximately 80 nucleotides in length. Their secondary structure includes four short double-helical elements and three loops (D, anti-codon, and T loops).
Source: RNAcentral